UACGGAGGAUGCGAGCGUUAUCCGGAUUUAUUGGGUUUAAAGGGUGCGUAGGCGGUCCGUUAAGUCAGCGGUAAAAUUGCGGGGCUCAACCCCGUCGAGCCGUUGAAACUGUCAGACUUGAGUUGGCGAGAAGUACGCGGAAUGCGCGGUGUAGCGGUGAAAUGCAUAGAUAUCGCGCAGAACUCCGAUUGCGAAGGCAGCGUACCGGCGCCACGCUGACGCUGAGGCACGAAAGCGUGGGGAUCGAACAGG
This 252-nucleotide ribosomal RNA is filed under the name uncultured bacterium. RNAcentral describes it as "partial 16S ribosomal RNA". It matches the Rfam family "Bacterial small subunit ribosomal RNA", at positions 524 to 776 of the family's 1533-position model. The record is from RNAcentral.